GUCUGUUUUUGUCCUCGUUGCUUAUUAUACCCACGCUCAUUUUCCUCCCCCUCCCCCACACACAGGCUCACGCAGCUCAUUCUUUUCCCGGGAUCGAGCAUUUGCCGCAACGCCGCUUUGUUGUUCUGCUGGCAAACGUGUGAGUAAAUCAUCGGAGGGUAACAGUCAGACAUCCGGCCGGUGAGAGAGGCGAGAGGAGCCGAUAGGACGAGCUGCAGUGCUGAGAUGUAGCCUCCCUGAUGGAUCGACGAGGAGGUCAGGCUUCCUCAGCACAGAGCGGCGCGGCCAGCCAGGCCACCUCGGAGACACCAGAGUGGGCGGACGUGUAGGGAAUGGGCACUUAUCUAUCGAGGCAAACGUCUCCGUCUGGCCAAGACCGAGAGAACACGCUCACUUCAUGGCCAUCAAGAGACUUUAAGCUGCACGGGCAGGACAAGCAACACACAGUGUGUUCUAUCGGUUGUUUCCAGACUAUAUACAGUGCAUCGAUGUCAUAUGGUGACGCUGGACAAUCCGUCCAAAACGUUUGGAUGAGUGAACAUUGUUGGAAGGGUUUCCUUUCCUUUAAUUCACCUUCAAAAUGUCUUCCCCGCCCCUAAAAGUUAUAUUUUUGACUUGACCCAGUUGCUCCAUAUGACAUGAAUGCAGCACCACCAUGUACAGGUGAAUGGUUAAGCUGCUGCUGCUGGUCUGGACCCUGGCUGUGCUGUGCUGACCCGAAUUCUCACUAGGCCUUCCUCAGAUCCGCUGGCACCCAGAGGUGGAGGGGAGUGUCGCGCGCCCGUCCAGCACACGGACAGAACUCUCCAGCACACGCGACUCCGGGACACUCUGCGCAGCGCCCGCUCCUGCCAGUGUGCCAGGGCACUGCCAGACUGGCGCGCGUGCACAUACACAUACACAUACACACAUGUUCAAGACCAGGAAGAUGAGAAGAUUAGAAGCAAAAGGGGAAAGAGAUUAAGAGUAAAAAGUCCAAAACAAAAAUGUCCUUAAAAUACUUUAGAUAUUUCAUAAAACUCAUGCGAACUGCGAACAGCUACUCUGGUCAAAGGUGACAAAAUACCAGCAACUCUAAAGCCCACUAAUUAAAACAUCAUAUCACCAGAUCAGUUGCUAGGAAACAAGCAGAUGCUGCAGGAAGUUACUGGUGAAAAAACUGACCGUAUGAAACAAAUAAGAUGUGGCGUGUUACUAAGUGAGCUUCACCGGGGCUUUAAAAUAUUUGCACAGAGCCAGCAGCUUCCCCCUGUUCCUUUGUGCUAAGCUAAGCUAAGCUAACUGGCGGCUGGCUAUAUAAAAACUAUGGGUGCACGUGUUGGCAACGGAAGAACCAUCCAGGCGCGUCAGCAAGCUUUAAACAUUGAAUUAACGCGGUUACAGCCAUCACAGCGUCUGGUUUCUGCACGUUCGGUUCUCUGGAUCGACAUUCCAACCGGCAAAUUCUACAGAAUUUCAAUUGUUCAUGUAUUGGACCUGGAGAGUCAAUUUGUUUCGCUUGUAUUUGCAAGUUCUUGCAUAGUUUAUAACGCCCUGUUCUGUGUCUUCUCUGUGUCUCCUUGAUUGGUUAAUUACCUUCACCUGCCCUCAGCCACCCUUGUCUCGUUAGUGUCUCAUGCCGUACACCUGUGUUUUUCCCCCCUAUAUAUUGUGCAAGUCUUUCCCUUGUCUUCUGGUGGUUUGUUGUCUUUAUCUGUCUCAUAGUGUCUCUGUUUUGAUCUCUCAUUCCCAGUCUUUGUUCGAUGGUGAUUCCUAGUUUUUUUGUAGCCGCUUUCGAGCCAGAGUUCUUAUGUUAUACCUUUUCUUGGAGUAAAGUCUUUUGUUUCGCUUUAAACCUGGAGUCCAGCCUGUUCUUCU
Pseudoliparis swirei is the source of this 1857-nucleotide long non-coding RNA. RefSeq lists it as uncharacterized. The transcript is spliced from 3 exons. The record is from RefSeq and is a predicted model, not a curated record. NCBI's taxonomy places the organism in Eukaryota, Metazoa, Chordata, Actinopteri, Perciformes, Liparidae.